UGGGGAAUUUUGGACAAUGGGCGCAAGCCUGAUCCAGCAAUGCCGCGUGAGUGAAGAAGGCCUUCGGGUUGUAAAGCUCUUUUGUCAGGGAAGAAACGGUUGGGGCUAAUAUCCUCGGCUAAUGACGGUACCUGAAGAAUAAGCACCGGCUAACUACGUGCCAGCAGCCGCGGUAAUACGUAGGGUGCAAGCGUUAAUCGGAAUUACUGGGCGUAAAGCGUGCGCAGGCGGUUUUGUAAGUCUGUCGUGAAAGCCCCGGGCUCAACCUGGGAAUUGCGAUGGAGACUGCAAGGCUUGAAUCUGGCAGAGGGGGGUAGAAUUCCACGUGUAGCAGUGAAAUGCGUAGAGAUGUGGAGGAACACCGAUGGCGAAGGCAGCCCCCUGGGUCAAGAUUGACGCUCAUGCACGAAAGCGUGGGGAGCAAACAGGAUUAGAUACCCUGGUAGUCCACGCCCUAAACGAUGUCUACUAGUUGUCGGGUUUUAAUUAACUUGGUAACGCAGCUAACGCGUGAAGUAGACCGCCUGGGGAGUACGGUCGCAAGAUUAA
This 549-nucleotide ribosomal RNA is filed under the name uncultured Massilia sp. FR036. Its description in RNAcentral is "bacterial SSU rRNA". It matches the Rfam family "Bacterial small subunit ribosomal RNA", at positions 355 to 897 of the family's 1533-position model. Lineage: Bacteria; Pseudomonadati; Pseudomonadota; Betaproteobacteria; Burkholderiales; Oxalobacteraceae. The record is from RNAcentral.